GUUUGAUCGUGGCUCAGAACGAACGCUGGCGGCGUGGAUCAGGCAUGCAAGUCGGACGAUCUCGCAAGAGAUAGUGGCAGAAGGGUUAGUAACGCGUGGGUAAUCUCCCCUCGAGUUGGGAAUAACAUUCCGAAAGGAGUGCUAAUACCGAAUAAAAUUUCAUUAGCGCAUGUUGAUGAAAUCAAAGGAAGGGACCGCAAGGCCUUCCGCUUGAAGAUGAGCCCGCGUCCUAUCAGCUAGUUGGUGAGGUAAUGGCUCACCAAGGCUUUUGACGGGUAGCUGGUCUGAGAGGACGAUCAGCCACACUGGGACUGAGACACGGCCCAGACUCCUACGGGAGGCAGCAGUGGGGAAUUUUGGACAAUGGGCGAAAGCCUGAUCCAGCAAUGCCGCGUGUGUGAAGAAGGCCUGG
RNAcentral lists this ribosomal RNA (412 nucleotides) under uncultured Gammaproteobacteria bacterium. Its description in RNAcentral is "bacterial SSU rRNA". It matches the Rfam family "Bacterial small subunit ribosomal RNA", at positions 11 to 419 of the family's 1533-position model. Lineage: Bacteria; Pseudomonadati; Pseudomonadota; Gammaproteobacteria. The record is from RNAcentral.